Clupea harengus (Atlantic herring) is the source of this 589-nucleotide long non-coding RNA. The record is from Ensembl. NCBI's taxonomy places the organism in Eukaryota, Metazoa, Chordata, Actinopteri, Clupeiformes, Clupeidae.
UCUCCCUGAUGCUAGGCCCGCUAGCAUCAGAACUGGACCUCAGAGCAAUCGAAUGUCACCUGGUCUGCUGGAACAACCACCUUGAACCCAACACCUUUCUCAAGUGAUUGGCUCUAGGAGAGUGUAGCGGGGCUUCCUCCUGUGAGCGAAACACGAUGGUCUCCAAAAGGUUCAAAGCUCUGAGCUGUACCUCUGCUGCUCUGCAUCCAUGCAGAAACUUCCAGCUGGUCUCCCACUCUGGUGCCCUGCCUGCUGCCUGGUGCCUGCUGCCUGCUGCCUGCUGCCUGCCAUGGCGUUAGAGUGAUUGCCUUCCGCUCUCGGGAACAAAUGACAUUAGACUAUGGGAAUAUUAGGCGCUCAAGGGACGUUUUAAAUCAGUCACUGGCACUUAACAAGCCAAUCAUCGACGGUGGAAUUCUACCGAGCUCACUUACUGCUGAAAGGAAUGGUGAUGGUUAUGAUGACCUUAUAAUGUCGGUGAUUUUAGCGAAAGUCAAUAGUUUUAAAACUCGACAGCCAAACAAGUACAACCCCAGUUGUUUCCUCUUUAUCUUGGAAAAUGCACACGUUCAUGGAACUUGCAAACAGC